AACGCGAAGAACCUUACCAGGUCUUGACAUCCCUCUGAAUCCGCUAGAGAUAGCGGCGGCCUUCGGGACAGAGGAGACAGGUGGUGCAUGGUUGUCGUCAGCUCGUGUCGUGAGAUGUUGGGUUAAGUCCCGCAACGAGCGCAACCCUUGAUCUUAGUUGCCAGCAGGUGAAGCUGGGCACUCUAGGAUGACUGCCGGUGACAAACCGGAGGAAGGUGGGGAUGACGUCAAAUCAUCAUGCCCCUUAUGACCUGGGCUACACACGUACUACAAUGGCCGAUACAACGGGAAGCGAAACCGCGAGGUGGAGCCAAUCCUAUCAAAGUCGGUCUCAGUUCGGAUUGCAGGCUGCAACUCGCCUGCAUGAAGUCGGAAUUGCUAGUAAUCGCGGAUCAGCAUGCCGCGGUGAAUACGUUCCCGGGCCUUGUACACACCGUAGAGAC
Molecule: ribosomal RNA, 443 nt
Filed under: uncultured bacterium
Lineage: Bacteria
Description: bacterial SSU rRNA
Rfam family: Bacterial small subunit ribosomal RNA
Source: RNAcentral